Molecule: transfer RNA, 65 nt
Filed under: Anisopteromalus calandrae
Lineage: Eukaryota; Metazoa; Arthropoda; Insecta; Hymenoptera; Pteromalidae
Also listed under: 1 other name
Description: tRNA-Leu
Rfam family: tRNA
About the family: Transfer RNA (tRNA) molecules are approximately 80 nucleotides in length. Their secondary structure includes four short double-helical elements and three loops (D, anti-codon, and T loops).
Source: RNAcentral
UCUAAUAUGGCAGAUUAGUGCAAUAGAUUUAAAUUCUAUAUAUAUAAUUUAUAUUAUUUUUAGAA